AUGCAGUCGAACGAUGAUCCGGUGCUUGCACCGGGGAUUAGUGGCGAACGGGUGAGUAACACGUGAGUAACCUGCCCUUAACUCUGGGAUAAGCCUGGGAAACUGGGUCUAAUACCGGAUAUGACUGAUCAUCGCAUGGUGGUUGGUGGAAAGCUUUUUUGUGGUUUUGGAUGGACUCGCGGCCUAUCAGCUUGUUGGUGAGGUAAUGGCUUACCAAGGCGACGACGGGUAGCCGGCCUGAGAGGGUGACCGGCCACACUGGGACUGAGACACGGCCCAGACUCCUACGGGAGGCAGCAGUGGGGAAUAUUGCACAAUGGGCGCAAGCCUGAUGCAGCGACGCCGCGUGAGGGAUGACGGCCUUCGGGUUGUAAACCUCUUUCAGUAGGGAAGAAGCGAAAGUGACGGUACCUGCAGAAGAAGCGCCGGCUAACUACGUGCCAGCAGCCGCGGUAAUACGUAGGGCGCAAGCGUUAUCCGGAAUUAUUGGGCGUAAAGAGCUCGUAGGCGGUUUGUCGCGUCUGCCGUGAAAGUCCGGGGCUCAACUCCGGAUCUGCGGUGGGUACGGGCAGACUAGAGUGAUGUAGGGGAGACUGGAAUUCCUGGUGUAGCGGUGAAAUGCGCAGAUAUCAGGAGGAACACCGAUGGCGAAGGCAGGUCUCUGGGCAUUAACUGACGCUGAGGAGCGAAAGCAUGGGGAGCGAACAGGAUUAGAUACCCUGGUAGUCCAUGCCGUAAACGUUGGGCACUAGGUGUGGGGGACAUUCCACGUUUUCCGCGCCGUAGCUAACGCAUUAAGUGCCCCGCCUGGGGAGUACGGCCGCAAGGCUAAAACUCAAAGGAAUUGACGGGGGCCCGCACAAGCGGCGGAGCAUGCGGAUUAAUUCGAUGCAACGCGAAGAACCUUACCAAGGCUUGACAUGAACCGGAAAGACCUGGAAACAGGUGCCCCGCUUGCGGUCGGUUUACAGGUGGUGCAUGGUUGUCGUCAGCUCGUGUCGUGAGAUGUUGGGUUAAGUCCCGCAACGAGCGCAACCCUCGUUCUAUGUUGCCAGCACGUGAUGGUGGGGACUCAUAGGAGACUGCCGGGGUCAACUCGGAGGAAGGUGGGGACGACGUCAAAUCAUCAUGCCCCUUAUGUCUGGGCUUCNGCAUGCUACAUGGCCGGUACAAGGGUUGCGAUACUGUGAGGUGGAGCUAAUCCCAAAAGCCGGUCUCAG
Molecule: ribosomal RNA, 1220 nt
Filed under: Arthrobacter sp.
Lineage: Bacteria; Bacillati; Actinomycetota; Actinomycetes; Micrococcales; Micrococcaceae
Description: bacterial SSU rRNA
Rfam family: Bacterial small subunit ribosomal RNA
Source: RNAcentral